RNAcentral lists this ribosomal RNA (426 nucleotides) under Triticum aestivum (bread wheat). Its description in RNAcentral is "partial small subunit ribosomal RNA". The record is from RNAcentral. Lineage: Eukaryota; Viridiplantae; Streptophyta; Magnoliopsida; Poales; Poaceae.
AUGGACUGCAGUUUUGUCAAGGACACGUUUAUGGAUGCUACGGAUUUCAUAGUGAAACAAGCCCUCGAAGGACUGAACGACUCUACCCUUGGUGAUCCCGAGAGACGCAUCAUGCUUGAGAGUGUUUCUCAAAUGCUGCCCACGCAAGUGCCUGAGGUAGCGAAGGUGAAGGCCAUUUUGGUCGGGCUUAUUGACCUUUCCAAGAAGUUGGAGGGUGGCCAGACCAAAUUCACGAGGGAAUCCGAGCGAGAUGAACAUGUUGUUGCCGAAUUAGAACUUAAGAUUAAGUCUGGCCAUGAGGUUUCCAAGGCCAUAAUUGAGGACUUAUCUGCCGUAGAAAAGAAGUGCACUGAAAUGGAGGCACGGGAAGUAGAGCUGAAGGCCCAGCUUGAAGAGGUUACUGGUACUUUGCACAAGCUUAAUUGA